RNAcentral lists this ribosomal RNA (201 nucleotides) under uncultured bacterium. Its description in RNAcentral is "partial 16S ribosomal RNA". It matches the Rfam family "Bacterial small subunit ribosomal RNA", at positions 29 to 255 of the family's 1533-position model. The record is from RNAcentral.
AACGAACGCUGGCGGCAGGCCUAACACAUGCAAGUCGAACGCCCGUAGCAAUACGGGAGUGGCAGACGGGUGAGUAACGCGUGGGAACGUGCCCUUCGGUUCGGAGUAACUCAGGGAAACUUGAGCUAAUACCGGAUACGUCCGUAAGGAGAAAGAUUUAUCGCCGAAGGAUCGGCCCGCGUCGGAUUAGCUAGUUGGUGA